AUAUUGUUCUUACAUCUCUUCUGAAAAAAAAAUCCACAUGUUUGUUAUCAGUUAAACUGAAACUACAAGUCCAAUCGACCCAAAAUUUACAGUCAGCAGGGCAUACAUGUACUAAAGGUUCAUAAAACAACGUGGUGCCGAUAUCUCUCAAGACUUUUCCUAGAGAAAAAAAAUUGCAAUGCCGUAAAAAUUGCUUGCUAGGUCCGUAAAUCUCAGUGAAAUGCUACAAUAAAAAUGUCCGCUCCUAGAUUGAAAUACUUAUCUGUGUUACAAACUGGUGCUGAAAAAUGUACAUUAUCAGAAAAUAAUCCUUAAAUGUGUUUUAAAGUUACACCGAAUCAAUUAAAUCCAAAACAUGCACUGCUGGUGAACUGUGAUCAAAAUGUCAAUUUCCUACAAUGACAAAAGAAAUUACAUUGUGUACAUUCCGUCUCUAUACAUGUUGUCUGUUCAACAUCCCCACCUAAAGAGAAGACUAAAAUUUUUUCGUUAUUAUAAACCCAAGUCACGUGAUGUCUCCUCAAUCUGGCGCGCGCGCGCUGGACCUAAAAUAAAAUAAAAACUUUCCAAACUAAACAUGAAACUUCUCCGGUAACAAAUAAUAUAGACCCCUUACAGAAACAAACAAACAAACAAACAAACAAACAAACAAACAAACACACAAACACACACACCCCCCCCC
This 682-nucleotide long non-coding RNA is filed under the name Mytilus galloprovincialis (Mediterranean mussel). Lineage: Eukaryota; Metazoa; Mollusca; Bivalvia; Mytilida; Mytilidae. The record is from RNAcentral.